GAUGAACGCUGGCGGCGUGCCUAAUACAUGCAAGUCGAGCGAACGGACGAGAAGCUUGCUUCUCUGAUGUUAGCGGCGGACGGGUGAGUAACACGUGGAUAACCUACCUAUAAGACUGGGAUAACUUCGGGAAACCGGAGCUAAUACCGGAUAAUAUUUUGAACCGCAUGGUUCAAAAGUAAAAGACGGUCUUGCUGUCACUUAUAGAUGGAUCCGCGCUGCAUUAGCUAGUUGGUAAGGUAACGGCUUACCAAGGCAACGAUGCAUAGCCGACCUGAGAGGGUGAUCGGCCACACUGGAACUGAGACACGGUCCAGACUCCUACGGGAGGCAGCAGUAGGGAAGCUUCCGCAAUGGGCGAAAGCCUGACGGAGCAACGCCGCGUGAGUGAUGAAGGUCUUCGGAUCGUAAAACUCUGUUAUUAGGGAAGAACAUAUGUGUAAGUAACUGUGCACAUCUUGACGGUACCUAAUCAGAAAGCCACGGCUAACUACGUG
RNAcentral lists this ribosomal RNA (497 nucleotides) under uncultured bacterium. RNAcentral describes it as "partial 16S ribosomal RNA". It matches the Rfam family "Bacterial small subunit ribosomal RNA", at positions 28 to 507 of the family's 1533-position model. The record is from RNAcentral.